GGGAAGUUCCAAGAACAUUUCUAAUGGGAGCUGCUGACAGAGAUAUAGGAGACACAGAGCUGGAGUGGAUCUCCUGUUGAAGAACAUCUCCAAGGCGCUAUGAACCAUCUGACUAGGCAGUUCGUGAAGACAGA
Molecule: long non-coding RNA, 134 nt
Organism: Sinocyclocheilus grahami
Lineage: Eukaryota; Metazoa; Chordata; Actinopteri; Cypriniformes; Cyprinidae
Exons: 3
Source: RefSeq, a predicted model, not a curated record